UCCCUAGUAGCUCAGUGGUAAAGAAUCUGCCUGCAAUGCAGGAGACCCGGGUUCGAUCCCUGGGUUGGGAA
RNAcentral lists this transfer RNA (71 nucleotides) under Bos taurus (domestic cattle). It matches the Rfam family "tRNA". Rfam says of the family: Transfer RNA (tRNA) molecules are approximately 80 nucleotides in length. Their secondary structure includes four short double-helical elements and three loops (D, anti-codon, and T loops). The record is from Rfam by way of RNAcentral. RNAcentral also lists the same sequence under 4 other names. Lineage: Eukaryota; Metazoa; Chordata; Mammalia; Artiodactyla; Bovidae.